Molecule: non-coding RNA, 2668 nt
Organism: Nylanderia fulva
Lineage: Eukaryota; Metazoa; Arthropoda; Insecta; Hymenoptera; Formicidae
Source: RefSeq, a predicted model, not a curated record
UCCCGAGACCUCUGCUACGGCAGCAGCCAAGUCUCGUCGUUUCGCACGCGGUAGGUGCGCUUUCCACCUACCAGACUCGCGCAAGCACGGGGCUGCAUGUCAUACUGCGGUCGUGUUUCCGCCGGUAUACGCCGGGUAUAUAUACCAAGUCGGUCGAAGCGUACGUGUAUGUUGCUAUACGGUUAGGUGUUGGAGAAAGAGACUCGACUCCCGGUUCUGGCAAACUCGAGAGACUUUAUUAAUUCAUUAGCUUCCCGCUUCUUAUUAAUACCGAGUUAAGAAAGCGUGUACUAUUAUACGUAAAAAUAAGAAGAAACUAAAAGUAUAGAAGUAAGAAAGAACAAAGUAUAAAAAGCAAGAUAUAAUAAAUGAAAUGUUUUUAAAUGAACGAUUGACUAUUCAUUCUCGAUCUAAAAACAAAGUUAUUGUUGAGUCAUGAUUUAAUGUUCACAAAUGUUGCAUAAAACCGUAUAAGUUAAUUAAUCAUACAUACACAUUAUAUAAAAACUUGGCUAUGCACAAGCUAUGAAUCUCUGCCAAGAUAUAGUACCUCAGUCAGCUAUGCGGUUUAUCGAUAUUGCGGCCGUAAACAAACGACAAUUUCUGUUAGCGUUGAGUGACGAAUACUUGAACCUUGAUCGUAAAUAAGUGUCGAGAUCAUGAUUUAGCUUGAAUCAUUUACAUCUCAAGUCGUGUUAUGACUGAUAUGCAACAUUAAUCAGUUAAAAGAAGAAAUUACGGAUAUUCAUAAAAACGGAUGAUGAACAAAAAGGAAUAAUAAAGAAGAGAAUAAUAAUUUAUCAGAAAGUAUAAAAAAAAAUGUGCAUAACGUAUUAUUUUCUAUAUGUGAUAAUUAGAAGGCCAACUUGACGAGCUAUAAGAGAAAAUAGAGCGUGCCGCGCGCACCAUCAAGCGCAUCAAGAGAGGUACGAAAACAACGCAAUCGAUUACCCGCUGUCGCAGUAUAUCUCGAUGAUUGCUGGGAAGACGUAUCGCAUUACACGAUGGCUGUUAAAUUGGGGGAUAUCCGCAGUAUCCGUAAUUUCCGCCUUCAGGAGGUCGGCGCGGCGCCACGCCGCUUCGGUGCUGCACACAGAGAGCUUCAAAUCCCACCCAAUACCGUCGAUAUCCAUAACCAUACGGUCUGUCGAGUAGCGGCUCGCGGUGUACUUCCUAGACAGAUCAAUUUGUACGUCUCCUAGAUCCGUGGAUCGUAGAUGAGCGUGUAAUUGGGCUGGCCCAGAUCCGCAUACACGGCUUAUAUGUAUAUACGGGAGGAGUGCAGGAAAUAUAGAAGCACAUCGGUAUCUAUGGUGUUAACCGAGCUGUGCUUCCAGUUUGAUAGGUCGCCGAAUAAUUACCCGAGCGCUACGUUCAGCUUAAUAGUCGCAUCAUCAUUCGAUAAACAUGUUAUUAUUGGAAGAGCGAUCGUGUGUACAGUGUACGGACGGAGCAGCCUCUGAGACUAUGUCUACUCGUGCGAAUUGACGGCAAUCGCGCAUCGUAUGAUAAUCGCCCUCUAUAUCGAUGCUUCUAGUCCUGUGAAGCUUCUGUAUAUGCAUCCGUAAUGCGUCAAUCUUAGAUCGUAGAUAAUUUGUAUUAAAGAUACAAAUGAUACCGGCUGCGCCGGUCUUUCUUUACUUACUCUGUUGCGAUCAACUUUCAGCGCGUAUUAUUUUAGCCAUUUCUUAUUACCGAGCGUUUUAACGUAAAAUAGUUUUUCACAAGGCAAAGUAUUAUUGAAUUAACUGCUCUUUUUACAAGAAUAUGUUUGUGCAAUGAUAAGAUUAUAUGCAUACUUAUUUUUAUGUGAAAAUACAAUGUAUUAUUUUUAAAUAACAAUCAUAUUUAAUUAGCGCAACGUCAUUGUAGGUGUUUAAUAAUAAUUUUCGAUUUUUAAGAUGAAUCAUUUUUCAUUUAUUGUAAUCUAUUUAAACGAUUAUGUGCCAUUAUCUAAGAUACUAAAAGGCCGUAUGUUCAGCGCUAAUAGUCGACUUGAAAAGAAGAUGUGAAAAAUGUUGCAUAGCCGAAGGCUGUUAUAAUAUCGGUAUAAUGAGAAUAUUUUCGGCACAGACAGGAUAAUAAAUAACGACGGAAGUGGCUUUUUUCUUGUCCGCUGUAGCAUGAAACAAGCACAAUGUUAUCUCGCAGAAAGGUUCGUCGCGGUAAACGCCAGUUUUCCUUUCGGCUCAUCUUGGUCGCGAAAAUCGCUAUAGAAACGUGACGGCGUGACGGCGUCGAGGAUAACGCGAUAACGAGCGGAUAAUCUCCCACAGUGAGCUGACUAAACAGUGAUUACACCCUUAACUUCUCGCCUUUCUCGUACUCAAGAAUUCGCGCCGCGAAGUUUAAUGGCGAUAAACGGCGACGGUUACAUCGCCCGGCGAUUCACUUUCCUCGCCAACCAUCCAUAUUACCGAUAUUAUUCAUCGAAUAGAAUUUCCACGGUGAGCCUUAGUCGCUCAUACGAAUAAUUCAUCAAAUUGGAAUCAAGCAUCUACGCGGAAGAGCAGGAUUAUACUCUGAGAUUUCCGUAGGGAGGUAAUAGAAUAUUCAUUGCUUUCCUAGAAAAUGCGAUCCAUAAAAAAAAAUUUAUAAGCUUAUUCGUUCAUUUUUAGCUGUCUACGUAUGUAAGAUAAUAAUUAAAGUGUAUAAUAGAUAUUUAAUU